Molecule: ribosomal RNA, 510 nt
Filed under: uncultured bacterium
Lineage: Bacteria
Description: partial 16S ribosomal RNA
Rfam family: Bacterial small subunit ribosomal RNA
Source: RNAcentral
GACGAACGCUGGCGGCGUGCUUAACACAUGCCAGUCGAACGAAGAGCGAUGGAAGCUUGCUUCUAUCAAUCUUAGUGGCGAACGGGUGAGUAACGCGUAAUCAACCUGCCCUUCAGAGGGGGACAACAGUUGGAAACGACUGCUAAUACCGCAUACGAUCUAAUCUCGGCAUCGAGGAUAGAUGAAAGGUGGCCUCUACAUGUAAGCUAUCACUGAAGGAGGGGAUUGCGUCUGAUUAGCUAGUUGGAGGGGUAACGGCCCACCAAGGCGAUGAUCAGUAGCCGGUCUGAGAGGAUGAACGGCCACAUUGGGACUGAGACACGGCCCAGACUCCUACGGGAGGCAGCAGUGGGGAAUCUUCCGCAAUGGACGAAAGUCUGACGGAGCAACGCCGCGUGAGUGAUGACGGCCUUCGGGUUGUAAAGCUCUGUUAAUCGGGACGAAAGGCCUUCUUGCGAAUAGUGAGAGGGAUUGACGGUACCGGAAUAGAAAGCCACGGCUAACUACGUG